AACGAACGCUGGCGGCAUGCCUAACACAUGCAAGUCGAACGAGAUCUUCGGGUCUAGUGGCGCACGGGUGCGUAACGCGUGGGAAUCUGCCCUUUGGUUCGGAAUAACAGUUGGAAACGACUGCUAAUACCGGAUGAUGACGAAAGUCCAAAGAUUUAUCGCCAGAGGAUGAGCCCGCGUAGGAUUAGCUAGUUGGUGUGGUAAAGGCGCACCAAGGCGACAAUCCUUAGCUGGUCUGAGAGGAUGAUCAGCCACACUGGGACGGGGACACGGCCCAGACGCCAACGGGAGGCAGCAGUGGGGAAUAUUGGACAAUGGGGGAAAGCCUGAUCCAGCGAUGCCGCGUGAGUGAUGAAGGCCUUAGGGUGGAAAAGCUCUUUUACCCGGGAUGAUAAUGACAGUACCGGGAGAAUAAGCUCCGGCUAACUCCGUGCCAGCAGCCGCCGUAA
Molecule: ribosomal RNA, 449 nt
Filed under: uncultured bacterium
Lineage: Bacteria
Description: partial 16S ribosomal RNA
Rfam family: Bacterial small subunit ribosomal RNA
Source: RNAcentral